Molecule: ribosomal RNA, 506 nt
Filed under: uncultured Dyella sp.
Lineage: Bacteria; Pseudomonadati; Pseudomonadota; Gammaproteobacteria; Lysobacterales; Rhodanobacteraceae
Description: bacterial SSU rRNA
Rfam family: Bacterial small subunit ribosomal RNA
Source: RNAcentral
AGAGUUUGAUCCUGGCUCAGAUUGAACGCUGGCGGCAUGCCUAACACAUGCAAGUCGAACGGCAGCACGGCAGUAGCAAUACUGUGGGUGGCGAGUGGCGGACGGGUGAGGAAUGCGUCGGAAUCUGCCCAGUUGUGGGGGAUAACUAGCCGAAAGGUUAGCUAAUACCGCAUACGACCGAGAGGUGAAAGCGGGGGACUUCGUAAGAGGCCUCGCGCGAUUGGAUGAGCCGACGCCGGAUUAGCUAGUUGGUAGGGUAAAGGCCUACCAAGGCGACGAUCCGUAGCUGGUCUGAGAGGAUGAUCAGCCACACUGGAACUGAGACACGGUCCAGACUCCUACGGGAGGCAGCAGUGGGGAAUAUUGGACAAUGGGCGCAAGCCUGAUCCAGCAAUGCCGCGUGUGUGAAGAAGGCCUUCGGGUUGUAAAGCACUUUUAUCAGGAACGAAAAGCGGAGGGUUAAUACCCAUCCGUGCUGACGGUACCUGAUUAAUAGACCGAUCCAU